GACGAACGCUGGCGGCGUGCUUAACACAUGCAAGUCGUACGGUAAGGCCCUUUCGGGGGUACACGAGUGGCGAACGGGUGAGUAACACGUGAGUAACCUGCCCACAACUUUGGGAUAACGCUAGGAAACUGGUGCUAAUACUGGAUAUGUGCUCCUGCUGCAUGGUGGGGGUUGGAAAGCUCCGGCGGUUGUGGAUGGACUCGCGGCCUAUCAGCUUGUUGGUGGGGUAGUGGCCUACCAAGGCGGCGACGGGUAGCCGGCCUGAGAGGGUUACCGGCCACAUUGGGACUGAGAUACGGCCCAGACUCCUACGGGAGGCAGCAGUGGGGAAUAUUGCACAAUGGGCGCAAGCCUGAUGCAGCAACGCCGCGUGCGGGAUGACGGCCUUCGGGUUGUAAACCGCUUUCAGCAGGGACGAAGCUUUUUGUGACGGUACCUGCAGAAGAAGCACCGGCUAACUACGUG
Molecule: ribosomal RNA, 465 nt
Filed under: uncultured bacterium
Lineage: Bacteria
Description: partial 16S ribosomal RNA
Rfam family: Bacterial small subunit ribosomal RNA
Source: RNAcentral